Molecule: long non-coding RNA, 749 nt
Organism: Oreochromis aureus
Lineage: Eukaryota; Metazoa; Chordata; Actinopteri; Cichliformes; Cichlidae
Exons: 2
Source: RefSeq, a predicted model, not a curated record
CCCAAGAAGCUCUCCGACUUCCUCUGUGUACAAAACACCACUGCGCUUCCUGUGCGAUCAAGAGAGGCGGCAAAAGAGGCGGAGCAACACCAGCCCCUCACCAAUGGUAUUGCUCCGUCUCUCCGCCAACGCUCUGAUACUGGUGUAUAAAAGCACAAAGCGGAGGCGUCCACUGAUGAUACUCAUGCACGCCUCGCUUCUCACACCGGCUCAGCCAAACCUCGGCGACACUUAUAAAGGCCGAAACAGAAGAAAUAAGAAACGGAUUAUUAUUGUCAGCAUUGCUGAUAAAGACUUGAAGCUGCAAUGGAUGGACACGGUGAAGAUGCCACUCCGCUCUAUGUCCUGUAUGUGUGUUCCUGGUUUCGUUUCCAUGUCAUCUACCACCAGACUGACGGACUGGCUGUGAUACUUUAUGGUGACAGAGAGAAGCUUGCUGCGAUAUUCCUGCAGAGGAUGGUGAUGGAGUUCUUCAGGAACUGGAUUCACAGGCCUGAGUGACCAAGACCAUCAGUGACCUGUGUUUGCGCAGCCUCUGCAGGACUUUCAACACAGUCCUCUGGUGACGCCUGAAGAGCAGCUUGAAUCUACAACAAGAACUGCUUCAUUAUGACCGCCCACUAUACAGAGUGGACUUCAUAAUUCUCUCUGAUAUUGGGCCGCCGUUGCUUUGCUUGUUGGGAGGUGAAAAAAUUGUUAUGUCUAUUUGUUUAUUAGAUAAAUUUGGUCAAUAAACUUUGCUUAUGUGC